Molecule: long non-coding RNA, 243 nt
Filed under: Mytilus galloprovincialis (Mediterranean mussel)
Lineage: Eukaryota; Metazoa; Mollusca; Bivalvia; Mytilida; Mytilidae
Source: RNAcentral
GUAUCACAACACAUUGAAAUAUAUUUCAAUUUCAAAUUUAUAACCAGCUCUAUAUUUAAAGGAUAAAGUGAGAUGUAUAACCCGACAGUUACGGGAAGAUUGUCACCGCUGAGAACCAUUUUGGAUAAAACCAAAACCGAGUAUUUUAUUCACACAGCUAGCGACAGGAACGUAACUAGUCUUUGCGUUCUCACAAUAAUACAUUAUAUUUCUUAAAAUCAAUUAUUUUUAUUGGUAUUUAAC